Molecule: ribosomal RNA, 263 nt
Filed under: uncultured bacterium
Lineage: Bacteria
Description: partial 16S ribosomal RNA
Rfam family: Bacterial small subunit ribosomal RNA
Source: RNAcentral
GUCCACGCUGUAAACGGUGAGCACUAGGUGUAGCGGGUAUUGACCCCUGCUGUGCCGCAGCUAACGCAUUAAGUGCUCCGCCUGGGGAGUACGGUCGCAAGAUUAAAACUCAAAGGAAUUGACGGGGCCCCGCACAAGCGGUGGAGCAUGUGGUUUAAUUCGAUGCAACGCGCAGAACCUUACCCGGGCUUGAAAUCACCUGGAAGCAUAUGGAAACAUAUGUGCCCGCGAGGGCUGGGUGACAGGUGCUGCAUGGCUGUCGU